Molecule: long non-coding RNA, 1884 nt
Organism: Coregonus clupeaformis (lake whitefish)
Lineage: Eukaryota; Metazoa; Chordata; Actinopteri; Salmoniformes; Salmonidae
Exons: 3
Source: RefSeq, a predicted model, not a curated record
UUUGUAUGUGUCUGUGUGUAUGAAAGGGAGAGAAACAGAGUGAGAGAGAAUGGAGGGAGAAAGAGGGAGAGAGAGAGCGAGAGAGAGAGAUUGGGGGAUUUGUAAGGCAUUUAUAUUAGCUAACUUCUGGCUGAAUUCAAUUUGGAACAGGCAGAAGAUCAGAUAGACAGACAGCGUUUGUUAGCGUGUGUGAUUGUGUGAAUGUGUUUUAGUAUGUGUGUUUGUGUGUGUGGGACAGAGACAGGGAUAGAGGGACAGAGGGAGGGAGGGAGGGAGAAGAACCCGUUCCCCUCAGUUCCACACUAAUCUCGUUCCCAGCAAUAGCCUGGGGACGAGGUUAGUUCCACACUAACUCUUCAAUGUGUUCACUUGAGGGAAGUUAUGGAAGCUUUUUUUCUUUCCUUUUUUCCCACCUAUACACUCUUCAACAUUCUGCAAUAACAUUGACGAGACAAGAAGAGAACUGAAUAACUUUCCACUAUUAUUUAGCUGACUGGGAUGUGUGAGGAGGAGAGGUGUGUGAGGAGGAGAGGAGUGUGAGGAUGGAAGAUGCUGGGGGAGAGAGGAGCGCUGCUCUGGGCUCAGUGAGAGUGAGAGGUUUAUAGAGGCCAGGACACAGAGGAUGCUGAGAAAGUCCAGUCCAGAGGAGAGCUGCAACAAUCAGGCCAGCAUGGAGUCACAACGAGGUCAGGAGUUUCUGAACUGAGUCUAACCUCUGACAUCUGGAUGGUGCCACCAGCCUGUUGCCCCACGGUGAGAGGCGAGAGGGCCUGCAACCACGUGGUACCACAGCAGCCAACAACCACACAAACACAGUCAUAGGGGGGACUGAGAAAUGCCUGACUAGAUCCCUUACAAAACUGGGCGGAUGUUUAAUUUACUGUAUGUGUGUAAGUGUGAGUGGAUCAUUAACAUGUAUCUGUUCAACAGACACAUUGAGACUAUUCUCUGCAAAUAUUCUAUUCCAUCCCAUAUCUUGCUGUCUCUGUGAGACAGAGGCUGUACACAAACAGUGAUCAUGUUGUGGGCCAGCUUCUGUUCUAUUUUCAGUUGAACAUGUCCCCCUGGUGGAGAUGGAAGGAGUCACAUGCUACAUUGAAGACAUGGUUAUUAUGCCAUUCCAAGUAAUGGGAAAGGCAAGAGGAACAGCAAAACCUGUAUCAAUUAUUUUCUCCUGAACUUUGAAUGAUGGAGAGCUGGACAUAGGCUGACAUUUUACAUUUCAGGGGGAACUGGGAUGCCAGCAAAUGGAGAUAUUUGCACUAGUAAAAAAAUGGCCAUAUGAACCAUAAAGCAUAUAAAUAUAUUUUUCUUCAUUGUAUUUUUUAUUUUAUUUAUUAACUCCAUGUACAACCUUAUACAUAGGAACAACAACUUACAGACGCACACAAACAAUGACUACAUCUCAUCUUCCCAGACCCGCAUGCUCACACCCCCAUCCCUAGUACCUGCAUUAUUGUUUGCCACUUGGCCUUAAACUGUAUCAAUUUGUUUUUCUCGGCCACCCAUGCCAUUUCAAUAUUUCAAUAAUAAAUCAUUAGAUGUUUUCAUUGUGUUAAUGAUGGCGGAUUGAUUGAUUUCCACGUUUUUAAUAGAUGUUUUUCCAAGAUGAGUGAUGAGAAGAGAAUCGUCCAGCACAUUUGGGUAUCUCACUACACCCCCAUAUGCAGACAGACGGAUUAAAAUUACGUUUACAUUGUAAUACUUCUGACAGCCAAUUUUCUAGCUCCGCCCACAACUUCCAGACUUCAUAGCAUUCCCAGAAAGCAUGGAUUAUAGAGUCAUUAUUCGUUUUUCACUUAAGACAUUCUGUCGUUGUGCUGUAGAAUUUGUGAAUUUUGUCUCUUGUAUAAUACAUUCUAUACAUUAGUUUAUACUGGAUUA